This 262-nucleotide ribosomal RNA is filed under the name uncultured bacterium. RNAcentral describes it as "partial 16S ribosomal RNA". It matches the Rfam family "Bacterial small subunit ribosomal RNA", at positions 524 to 784 of the family's 1533-position model. The record is from RNAcentral.
UACGUGAGGGGCGAACGUUGUUCGGUGUCACUGGGCUUAAAGGGCGCGUAGGUGGCUGCGUAAGUAAGGUGUGAAAGCCCUCGCUUACCCGGGGAAUUGCGCCUUAUACUGCGUGGCUUGAGGAUUUCAGGGGAAAGGGGAACUCCGAGUGUAGCGGUGAAAUGCGCAGAUAUUCGGGGGAAGGCCGGGCGGCGAAGGCGCCUUUCUGGGGAAAUUCCUGACACUGAGGCGCGAAAGCGUGGGGAGCAAACAGGAUUGAGAA